UCAUGCCCGAUGUUACGUACUUGCUCUUAUAAUUGUAUGUUGUGCACAAUAUCUUACAAGUCGAAUAUUAAGGAAGUGGUAUAGAAAACCACUCGUGGAAUUUAAUGUCUAAUGUUCUUCAAAAGCUUAUAAUCAUCGGCAAAUAGCAAAAGAAUCACAUUCCAUGGCCUACUCGGCGAAGAACUUCAUUGUUGACAAAAGGAGAGAAGCUGUUCUCCCAGCUGAAGAGCCUCUUAUGCAAACUCAAAGCCCUGAUGACAACUCCUUGGUUUGCCUUCGGGCUUAUUGCUCGCGUUCAUCGCCCUCACUCGUCUAGUGGCCCUUAGGCCUUCAUCAAACUUGCCUUCCCCCGGGUUCAUUAAGAAUGCUGAUUCUCAAUUUAAAUCAGCACUAUCCGUCCUCUUUCCACAUGAAAAGUCGUCCCCCGGCAGCAUGUUCCGGUUGAGUCGUUGAUCAGGUGGGACUUCUUCAAGGGGGAGUGGGUGGAAGAUGAAUACUACCCGAUGGAUGAGCCAGGGUCGUGCCUGAUAGUCGAUGACAGCUUUCAAUUGUAUGUUAAAUGGGAGGCCCGAUAGAGAUUACCAGAAGUUCAGGUGGAAAGCAAAAGGGUCGCGAUCUCCCAAGGUUGUGUAAAUAUUCCUCUCUUUGCAAUAUUAUGACUGUUCGUUAGAAUUCUUCACAUGUCCUUUCUUGGUCGAAGAACGGGAAGUGCCCAGCGUAAAUGGAAGCACAAAGCAAACCUUCUUCGUGUGGGUAACUUCUUCGAGAAGUAUAAGGAUGCGGACAUCAUUAUAUUUAACACUGGACACUGGUGGAAUCACUAGAAGACACUGGCGCGUAUGCUCAUUGUAUAAUCCUAACCCUCAGUCGGUUAAACCAGUGCGAUGCCUCCAUCUGAUUAACGGCGACGGAAUACUAAACCUGCAGGAUAAUUCAAGAAAGGAACCAUGUCUAUGCAGAACUCAAUGUGCCCGAGUCGUUUCACAAGGCUCUAAUCACAUGGGCGAAAUGGGUCGACUCCAAUGUAAACCCGAACACGUCCUUGAUAUUCUUCAGAGGUUACUCUGCCACCCAUUUUAGGAUCUUGCCUUCUUCUCCAGGGAUGGUAAGCCGAACUACAGGGACCACUCCAACAAGGAGACAACUCCGAACAACAACGGGACGAUCCUGACCCAAUACGUCCCCAAGAUGGAAGUCCUCGAGACGGUCAUCAGAGGCUUGAGAAUUCCGACCAUAUACCUUAACAUCGCCAAGAUGACGAGGAAUCGAAAGGACGGUCACUCUUCGAUGUACAGGAAGCAGCUCAAUUUUUCAGACGACUUGGAAAUCAGGAGGUCCCUGAGGGCCUAGGACUAAAGCCACUGGUGCCUCCCGGGCAUUCCCGAUUCCGGGGACGAGAUUCUGUACACCGAGCUCCUUGUAAAACAUCCCAAUCUUCUAAGUAAGGUGGAAUGUGCAGAACCAGCUCAGAUCCCAUGGGAUUUUGUAUCUAAAGUAGGAUAUAGAACAGUUAGAUAUCAUCGUAUUGUAAGUCAUAAACAAUAAUUUUGUCUUUCUUUGCCUUACUAUACAUUGGAAGUCCAAUUUGCUACA
This is a non-coding RNA of Punica granatum (pomegranate), 1593 nucleotides long. Lineage: Eukaryota; Viridiplantae; Streptophyta; Magnoliopsida; Myrtales; Lythraceae. The record is from RefSeq and is a predicted model, not a curated record.